This 616-nucleotide small RNA is filed under the name Pan troglodytes (chimpanzee). RNAcentral describes it as "processed transcript". The record is from RNAcentral. Lineage: Eukaryota; Metazoa; Chordata; Mammalia; Primates; Hominidae.
AAGUGCGCAGGCUCCUGGGCAGGGCUUGGGUUCUGCCCGGGGACGCAGCCCAGUUAGUAGCGUCGCUCCCUGAGCGCUUCUAAGGGGGCCGCCCGGCCUUGUCUUUCGGCAGUGGCCGAGCCACCGCCGCCUGCCGCGCGUUCCAGAGCUGGGCGCUGCAGCUGCACUGCCGAUCGCCGUGUUUGGUCGAUAGAAUCCCCAGUGUGCCCAGAGAGUGCGACCCCUCGCCCGGCCCGGCGAGCCCUGGGCGUGAACCGAGCUGAGGGAGGAUGGCAGCCUCUGGGGUGGAGAAGAGCAGCAAGAAGAAGACCGAGAAGAAACUUGCUGCUCGGGAAGAAGCUAAAUUGUUGGCGGGUUUCAUGGGCGUCAUGAAUAACAUGCGGAAACAGGUAUAAGUGUGCUAGCGGAGUGUCUAGAUUGUCCUGAAUUGAAAGCAACUGCAGAUGACUUUAUUCAUCAGCAUUUUACUGAAGUUUACAAAACUGAUGAAUUUCUUCAACUUGAUGUCAAGCGAGUAACACAUCUUCUCAACCAGGACACUCUGACUGUGAGAGCAGAGGAUCAGGUUUAUGAUGCUGCAGUCAGGUGGUUGAAAUACGAUGAACCUAAUCGCCAG